AGCAACACAAAACCAGACGAAUCCCCAUAAACGAACGACGAAUCGUGGAAGCCGGUGUAAAUCCGGCGCGAUCGCGCCGCUGUGACCGUUCGCGUCGGCCUCGCGCCCGCGCGACGGAAGCCAGACCUCCCUUCGUCGUGAAGAUCGGACC
This 151-nucleotide non-coding RNA is filed under the name Burkholderia gladioli. The record is from RNAcentral. Lineage: Bacteria; Pseudomonadati; Pseudomonadota; Betaproteobacteria; Burkholderiales; Burkholderiaceae.